This 452-nucleotide ribosomal RNA is filed under the name uncultured Streptococcus sp. Its description in RNAcentral is "bacterial SSU rRNA". It matches the Rfam family "Bacterial small subunit ribosomal RNA", at positions 925 to 1382 of the family's 1533-position model. The record is from RNAcentral. Lineage: Bacteria; Bacillati; Bacillota; Bacilli; Lactobacillales; Streptococcaceae.
CGAAGCGGUGGAGCAUGUGGUUUAAUCGAAGCAACGCGAAGAACCUUACCAGGUCUUGACAUCCGAUGCUAUUUCUAGAGAUAGAAGUUACUUCGGUACAUCGGUGACAGGUGGUGCAUGGUUGUCGUCAGCUCGUGUCGUGAGAUGUUGGGUUAAGUCCCGCAACGAGCGCAACCCCUAUUGUUAGUUGCCAUCAUUCAGUUGGGCACUCUAGCGAGACUGCCGGUAAUAAACCGGAGGAAGUGGGAUGACGUCAAAUCAUCAUGCCCCUUAUGACCUGGGCUACACACGUGCUACAAUGGUUGGUACAACGAGUUGCGAGUCGGUGACGGCGAGCUAAUCUCUUAAAGCCAAUCUCAAUUCGGAUUGUAGGCUGCAACUCGCCUACAUGAAGUCGGAAUCGCUAGUAAUCGCGGAUCAGCACGCCCGCGGUCGAAUACGUUCCGGGCCUU